RNAcentral lists this ribosomal RNA (529 nucleotides) under uncultured bacterium. RNAcentral's name for it is "bacterial SSU rRNA". It matches the Rfam family "Bacterial small subunit ribosomal RNA", at positions 774 to 1308 of the family's 1533-position model. The record is from RNAcentral.
AGUGAAUAGAUACCCGGGUAGUCCACGCUGUAAACGAUGAUCACUCGCUGUUUGCGAUAUACAGCAAAGCGGCUGAGCGAAAGCAAUAAGUGAUCCACCUGGGGAGUACGAUCGCAAGGUUGAAACUCAAAGGAAUUGACGGGGCCCGCACAAGCGGAGGAACAUGUGGUUUAAUUCGAUGAUACGCGAGGAACCUUACCUGGGCUUAAAUGGGGAGUGACGUUAUCAGAGAUGGUAAUUUCUUCGGACACUCUUCAAGGUGCUGCAUGGUUGUCGUCAGCUCGUGCCGUGAGGUGUCGGGUUAAGUCCCAUAACGAGCGCAACCCUUACUGUUAGUUGCCAUCGGGUAAAGCCGGGGACUCUAGCGGGACUGCCACCGUAAGGUGAGAGGAAGGUGGGGAUGACGUCAAAUCAGCACGGCCCUUAUGUCCAGGGCUACACACGUGUUACAAUGGCCGGUACAGAGGGCAGCUACACUGCGAAGUGAUGCGAAUCCCGAAAGCCGGUCUCAGUUCGGAUCGAAGUCUGC